GGGCGCUUAGCUCAGCUGGUAGAGCAAUCGCCUUUUAAGCGAUCGGUCAUGGGUUCGAAUCCCGUAGCGCCUACCA
Molecule: transfer RNA, 76 nt
Filed under: Magnetovibrio sp.
Lineage: Bacteria; Pseudomonadati; Pseudomonadota; Alphaproteobacteria; Rhodospirillales; Magnetovibrionaceae
Description: tRNA-Lys
Rfam family: tRNA
About the family: Transfer RNA (tRNA) molecules are approximately 80 nucleotides in length. Their secondary structure includes four short double-helical elements and three loops (D, anti-codon, and T loops).
Source: RNAcentral